UUAUGUGGGAAUCAAUCAUGGCAACCGCAACAAAAGGGAUGUGCUCAACCAACUCCAUUUUAAAGUAAUGCCCUCACAUUCCCUGAAUCCAGCACAACACCUUUGGAAGUAUGCAAGCCACAUUUUCCUUUAGGACCGCAUCCAGUGACUUCCCGGCAACUGCGGUGUCUAAAAUGACUAGAUCAGCUUUAAGUGUGAAAUCAACAGCUUCUUGACCCUUCGCCGAAAAACCUGAAUGAUGACUAGAAAGAAAACUCCGAUAAAACAGCAUUACCUUUAAUAUUAUGGCAAGCAUCAUCCAAUCAAAAGAAAUUUUCAUGUUUCUAAAAUAAACAAGAUUAUUGUUUUAAGAUGUGGACAGUAUAGAAACUGUCUCCUCUCAGGGGCGACCCAGAAAUUUUUUUUCAGUGCGGGCGAUAUUUUCAGUGCACUUCUCCAAAAAUAUAGUAUUAUGUGCAAAACUAAAACAAACCAUAUCGAGUGUUGGAUACAUGUUAGACAUGAAAAUGCCACCCUAAUGGUAGUGUCUGUGCUUUGUAGGUCACCUCAAUUUCAAAUUAAAAACUUAUAGGGUUCAUCAAAGCAGGACAAGUAUGUGAUGCUGGAAGCUCUGUCUCAUAAUUGCUUGAAUUUCCCUCAUUAUUUAUUUGUCACUCUUCUCCCUCGAAACUCUGUAAAUCAAAAUCCAAUUCAAUAGGCAUCUGGCUGCAUUGGGCCUUCACUGUGUCCGCUCUUGACUCCUAUGUCCUUCAUCUUCUGUUCCAAAUUCUAAAUCACUUCAGCUGGUUCAUUAGGCUUCUAAUUGGUAAUCCAAACAACUUUUGUACCAACUUCUAAAUUGAUAGGUGUAAAUCGUCCUUGAUAUUCAUUCUGCCUUUCAUCUGAUAAUGGUAAUUUUCACAACAAAAGAUCUUGCAAAGCAAUGAUGAGGCUUUUCCUCGUGAUCGCUUCGGUGUAGGAAUCAAUAAGAGAAUAAGAAAAAUCACUGUUUUAAAAAUCAGAUCGGCCUGGCCACUUCAACUUGAAAAAUUGAGUAUCGAGAUCAAAAUCGAUCCAAUUAGACUUAUUAAACUUCUAAUUAAAAACCUAAAUCGAUCGAUUUUUAGAGAACUCAUGACCUGU
This 1122-nucleotide long non-coding RNA is filed under the name Olea europaea (common olive). RNAcentral's name for it is "long non-coding RNA (OEUR_LNC014060)". The record is from RNAcentral. Lineage: Eukaryota; Viridiplantae; Streptophyta; Magnoliopsida; Lamiales; Oleaceae.